RNAcentral lists this long non-coding RNA (1137 nucleotides) under Homo sapiens (human). RNAcentral describes it as "HSALNT0139281". The record is from RNAcentral. Lineage: Eukaryota; Metazoa; Chordata; Mammalia; Primates; Hominidae.
GAACUAUUAGUUUCAUUCACUGCAAUUAUUUAUUUCUUACAUUAAAUUUUGCUCAAGUCCCUUACAAUUUUCCAAAGAUAGACAUGUGGAUGUGGGCAAGCAGGCAAAAAAGCAAAAAAGCAAACAACAACAACAACAACAACCUCUUGAAUUUCAUUUUGCUUCUUUUGAUUAUUCAGAGAAAACUUCAGAAAGUUAAUGUAGCACAGAUAGAAAAAUGUGAAAUACAGAGUUGAAAGAAGACAGUGCUUUCAUCUGUCAAGCAUUAGGGGUUUCCCAGCCUGGAAUGUACCUGGCUUUAAUAGUUUUUAAGGGAUUGGUUUUUAUUCUGAACCCAAAUCCCACCCCACCUCCCCAAACACACACGCAUACACGCAGGCACACGCAUAUACAUAUCGGGUUAUACAGUGAUGCCAAAACAGACAAGGAAGGGAAGUCAAGAUUAAUAGUGGUGAGCAGGGCGUUGAUUUCAGCCAGUUCUGUUUACACAGCAUUUUCCUUCCAGAACCGCAGAGCUCUACACAGAUACUAUCUCACUAAUCCUCAAUGGAGCUUUCUCAAAGCGCCUUUAUCCAGCCUCUCUCCUAGGAGAAAGUGAGGCACGGCGGGCAGAGGUGGUGAAGUCCUCGCAAAAGCUGGAAACAUGACCCCGGGCUCCUGACGCAUGGGCCAUUGUCCUUUGCACUCCACCGCGCCACCUUCCUGUCAGGUGUCUGGUAAACAGGUUAACUGAUCGCUGAUUAGGGGCCUCCCGCCUACGUGCAAUGAGUGGCGGAAAGGAGCUUUUCCUUGUCAAUACGAAAAUCUUUGAGUACAAAUCGAUAAAGCUAGAGAUUCAAAGACUGCCUUUAUAAAACUGGAGAAGAUGCACUCUGGCCAUAGGCGGAGGGGGCAGCCCGGGGCCCCUGUCAGGAAGCCAAGCGGCCCGGGGCAUCCCUGGAAGGCUGCCGAGGGGGCAGCGCCUUCUCUGGGGACGGCUUCGUGGAGAGUCCGGGACGGGCGAGACAGAAAACCGAGCCCUAUUUGUUAUUAGUAUUUUUUUUUUUAUACUCUCAAAUGCCACCGGCACAUUCUUUUAAAAAAAAAUGAAAGGAAAGAAAGAAAGAAAAAGAAAAUAAGAGAGGAAAAGGUCCUGAG